RNAcentral lists this ribosomal RNA (468 nucleotides) under uncultured bacterium. Its description in RNAcentral is "partial 16S ribosomal RNA". It matches the Rfam family "Bacterial small subunit ribosomal RNA", at positions 28 to 507 of the family's 1533-position model. The record is from RNAcentral.
GACGAACGCUGUCGGCGUGCUUAACACAUGCAAGUCGAACGGAAAGGCCCUGCUUUUGUGGGGUGCUCGAGUUGCUAACGGGUGAGUAACACGUGAGUAACCUGCCCUUGACUUUGGGAUAACUUCAGGAAACUGGGGCUAAUACCGGAUAGGAGCUCCUGCUGCAUGGUGGGGGUUGGAAAGUUUCGGUGGUUGGGGAUUGGCUCGCGGCUUAUCAGCUUGUUGGUGGGGUAGUGGCUUACCAAGGCUUUGACGGGUAGCCGGACUGAGGGGGUGACCGGAACGAUUGGAACGGAGAUACGGCCCAGACCACAAUGGGACGGGGGGGGGGGGUGGAUGACAUUAUGGGAGGAAGCGAAAUGCGGUAACGCCGGGUGGGGGAAGAGGGGAAUGGAGUUGUAAACCGAUUCUCUGUGUGACGAGGAGAGAGUGACGGUAAUGGGUAAGAAAGCACCGGCUAAAUACGUG